UACGUAGGGAGCGAGCGUUGUCCGGAUUCAUUGGGCGUAAAGAGCUCGUAGGCGGCUUGGCAAGUCGGGUGUGAAAACUCCAGGCUCAACCUGGAGACGCCACCCGAUACUGCCAUGGCUAGAGUCCGGUAGGGGACCACGGAAUUCCUGGUGUAGCGGUGAAAUGCGCAGAUAUCAGGAGGAACACCGGUGGCGAAGGCGGUUCUCUGGGCCUGUACUGACGCUGAGGAACGAAAGCGUGGGGAGCGAACAGG
This 254-nucleotide ribosomal RNA is filed under the name uncultured bacterium. Its description in RNAcentral is "partial 16S ribosomal RNA". It matches the Rfam family "Bacterial small subunit ribosomal RNA", at positions 524 to 776 of the family's 1533-position model. The record is from RNAcentral.